UACAGAGGGUGCGAGCGUUGUCCGGAAUCACUGGGCGUAAAGGGCGCGUAGGCGGCCCUCCUAGUCGCGUGUGAAAGCCCCGGGCUCAACCUGGGAAUGGCAAUGGAUACUGGCAAGCUAGAGUGCGGUAGAGGGUAGUGGAAUUCCCGGUGUAGCGGUGAAAUGCGUAGAGAUCGGGAGGAACACCAGUGGCGAAGGCGGCUACCUGGACCAGCACUGACGCUGAGGCACGAAAGCGUGGGGAGCAAACAGG
RNAcentral lists this ribosomal RNA (253 nucleotides) under uncultured bacterium. RNAcentral's name for it is "partial 16S ribosomal RNA". It matches the Rfam family "Bacterial small subunit ribosomal RNA", at positions 524 to 776 of the family's 1533-position model. The record is from RNAcentral.